AAAAGCUGAGCAGUAGUGUAUAUAGAGAAGGAACCCCCCCCUGAGAGAUGAGAAACUUGGGAAAGGACUGAUACACGCCUGAUAACAGAAGAGGGGCUACGCAGAGGACACGAAAAGGAUCUCCAGGUUCUGCCUCCUCAACCCAAACGACCCCUCACCGGAAAUCCCACCUCACCAACGAGCUCCCUCACCACCACAAAAAAGAAAACACACACACUGUCAAGCACACGAACAGAUUCGGAGCUGAGAUAUUAGAAACGGUUUGAGGUCGUCGUUCCGUCGCCGAUUCAAGAUUCACCAUUGGUUCGCUGUCUCGGUUUCAUUUCUGUUGUUGUGUAGCUGAUUCAGUUUGACUUAUUUUCCAUUUAUGUAGUCGUUUGAAGAGAUUCCGGGAAGAAUUAAUUGAAGUUUCCCAUUCAGGUUCAUUUCUUUGCCCUCUUUGAUCUUAUUCAUGGUGUGAUUAAUUAUAUAUGAUAGGUGUUCAUGGUUUAAGUUGCUCUGUUGCGUUGUAAGUAGCUAGAUCAUAUUUUGUUUUGCUUGAUUUGUUUCUAUGACCUUAUGAAUGUUUGGAAUACGGAUAUGGAGAUUUAAGGUCACUCGAUGUUACUAGAUGAUCCUUUACUGUGAUGUUUUUUGUUUUACUCUUUUCUCUGUUUUGGCUAUAGUACUUGUUUGGUUUUUAUGUCUUAUAUUGUAUGCGGAGAACUAUAACAGCAAAAAAUAUUUGUAUUUUAGCAUGCUGCCACUCUUAUAUGAAAGAAAUAAUAGCAGAUUGCACCUAAAGGUUUCCUUCUGUGGUGCUAAUGUAAUGUAAAAAUGAAGAUGUUUUCAGUAAUUCCGUCCUUUCCAAAUGAUUCGGUAGAAAGUUUAGUUGCCUAAUAUUCUGCUUUUGUAGUUUUAUGCGAUAUGAUUUUUCCCAUAUGCUUGUUUUCGGAUCUGUUAAGUUAGUGAAUUUGUUAAUUUCUCUUACGUUUCGUAUUGUUGGUUAAAUGGUCCUUUGAAUUAGUUAAGAAUAAGUUGGGGCAUGCCGAGCCAAGCAAAAUUUUCAAAUGCAUGGCCCUCGUGUUAAUGUAGAUAUAAAAUUGAUUACUAUUAGUAGCUAGCCUUCAGGACCGUUU
Molecule: long non-coding RNA, 1118 nt
Filed under: Nicotiana benthamiana
Lineage: Eukaryota; Viridiplantae; Streptophyta; Magnoliopsida; Solanales; Solanaceae
Description: long non-coding RNA (NBEN_LNC038947)
Source: RNAcentral